GGGAGUAUAGCUCAGUGGUAGAGCACAUGCUUAGUGUGCAUGAGGUCCUAGGUUCAAUCCCCGGUACCUCCA
RNAcentral lists this transfer RNA (72 nucleotides) under Camelus bactrianus (Bactrian camel). It matches the Rfam family "tRNA". Rfam says of the family: Transfer RNA (tRNA) molecules are approximately 80 nucleotides in length. Their secondary structure includes four short double-helical elements and three loops (D, anti-codon, and T loops). Further hydrogen bonds mediate the characteristic L-shaped molecular structure. tRNAs have two regions of fundamental functional importance: the anti-codon, which is responsible for specific mRNA codon recognition, and the 3' end, to which the tRNAs corresponding amino acid is attached (by aminoacyl-tRNA synthetases). tRNAs cope with the degeneracy of the genetic code in two manners: having more than one tRNA (with a specific anti-codon) for a particular amino acid; and 'wobble' base-pairing, i.e. permitting non-standard base-pairing at the 3rd anti-codon position. The record is from Rfam by way of RNAcentral. Lineage: Eukaryota; Metazoa; Chordata; Mammalia; Artiodactyla; Camelidae. RNAcentral also lists the same sequence under 2 other names.